Molecule: ribosomal RNA, 500 nt
Filed under: uncultured bacterium
Lineage: Bacteria
Description: partial 16S ribosomal RNA
Rfam family: Bacterial small subunit ribosomal RNA
Source: RNAcentral
AUUGAACGCUAGCGGGAUGCUUUACACAUGCAAGUCGAACGGCAGCGCGGACUUCGGUCUGGCGGCGAGUGGCGAACGGGUGAGUAAUGUAUCGGAACGUACCCAGUAGCGGGGGACAACUACUCGAAAGAGUAGCUAAUACCGCAUACGCCCUACGGGGGAAAGGGGGGGAUCGCAAGACCUCCCCAUAUUGGAGCGGCCGAUAUCGGAUUAGCUAGUUGGUGGGGUAAAGGCCUACCAAGGCGACGAUCCGUAGCUGGUUUGAGAGGACGACCAGCCACACUGGGACUGAGACACGGCCCAGACUCCUACGGGAGGCAGCAGUGGGGAAUUUUGGACAAUGGGGGCAACCCUGAUCCAGCCAUCCCGCGUGUGCGACGAAGGCCUUCGGGUUGUAAAGCACUUUUGGCAGGAAAGAAAUUGCCUGGGUUAAUACCCUGGGUAGAUGACGGUACCUGCAGAAUAAGCACCGGCUAACUACGUGCCAGCCGCCGCCGUAA